Long non-coding RNA from Argentina anserina (silverweed cinquefoil), 1281 nucleotides. RefSeq lists it as uncharacterized. Lineage: Eukaryota; Viridiplantae; Streptophyta; Magnoliopsida; Rosales; Rosaceae. The record is from RefSeq and is a predicted model, not a curated record. The transcript is spliced from 5 exons.
AGAUGCUGCCAUCUAUGGAUACAAAUUUUGCUGGUCAAUGAACAUCACAUGCCUGAGAUUGCUGAGUUGAAGAAAAAGACUAACAAGCCAAAGAGACCUUAUGUUACGGCAUUAUUCAGUCUUUUGUUUCAGAUGAGUGGAGCCACUUUGUUCAAUCUCUCUAUUCUUACAUCUGAUAUGUGGGUUGUGGUUGUUCGCAUAUUGUUCUACCACCAGGAGAGCUAAGCAAUGGUACAAGUUAAAUUAAGUCUUGGUUUUUAGUCAUCAGGACCUUCGGAAUCAUCAAGCUGAGCAAGAUAAACCAUUAUCUCUAAUAUACAAGGAAGUGGAGACAACACCUGCCUAUCCAGAUAUUUGUUUUGCAGUCGAUGACUUUGACUCCACUUUUGAUGUUGUUGUAAGAAGAUUCUUCUAUUGUUUGUGUUGUGGCCAUUAGAUCAUUUAGACUUGUGAUGCCAAAAGUUACUAGCCAUAUAAUGUUGUUACCAGACUGAAUUGGUUUAUGUCAUAUUCUUUGGUCGUACUUCUUCAGUUCUUCUGGUCAUUUUGCUAUCAUCAGUCAUUCUUAAGAAACCGCAUGUCUGACUACUUUUGUCUUUUUCUUUAAAUCGUUAAAUCAUAAUGUUAGCACCUGCUAGUACUAUUUUGUCUAUUUAUGUAUUUUCAUUGUCAAAACAUCUAAAUAUUUUUAUUUGCCCAAGUUUAUUUAGUACAGUCCCAAAAUAUAUUAAUAUUAACUAAAAAUUAGCAAAUCCGAUAAUUCCGAUAUAUUCCGAUAUAUCUUUUUUUCCCUCAACCGAUACAACCCCGAUAACCGAUAUUUAGACCCUUGACUAUAUCUAAAUAUUGAAUUACUGAGUUUCCAUUUGCUGCUCUCAUGCAGUUUCAUUCUUGUGAAUUUUGCAAGAUGAAUAUUAAGUUCUUGAAUCAUUUUUUGGGUUUAGUCAUUGUUGAUUUUAGGUAAUAGAAAAAAUAGUAGGUGUUCAUGAGGCGAUCUCUGUUGCUAUCUAUCAUUUAUAAUAUGUGGCUUCUCUUAUGUUGUUGCUUGUCUAUACAUUGUUUCAGUCUUAGUGCUUUGUGACUUAUGUGAGUAUUGAUGUCAUUCAUUUCAAAGAAGGCUUGCAGCUGUGGGGAGGAAGAGCCUUAGUACUGAUGCUUAAUUUUUCAUGUGUAACUAUCAUAUCUUUGUAAUAGUUUUAUUUGUUAGCUUAGUCUUGAAGUUUGCCACUUUGAAUGGUAUAUCUAUAAUGAUAUUGAACUUGUUUGAGGCAUUGAAAAUAA